GCGGAUGUGGUGUAAUUGGUAACACAAUAGCCUUCCAAGCUAUUAUUGCGAGUUCGAAACUCGUCGUCCGCUCCA
This 75-nucleotide transfer RNA is filed under the name Holdemanella sp. RNAcentral describes it as "tRNA-Gly". It matches the Rfam family "tRNA". Rfam says of the family: Transfer RNA (tRNA) molecules are approximately 80 nucleotides in length. Their secondary structure includes four short double-helical elements and three loops (D, anti-codon, and T loops). Further hydrogen bonds mediate the characteristic L-shaped molecular structure. tRNAs have two regions of fundamental functional importance: the anti-codon, which is responsible for specific mRNA codon recognition, and the 3' end, to which the tRNAs corresponding amino acid is attached (by aminoacyl-tRNA synthetases). tRNAs cope with the degeneracy of the genetic code in two manners: having more than one tRNA (with a specific anti-codon) for a particular amino acid; and 'wobble' base-pairing, i.e. permitting non-standard base-pairing at the 3rd anti-codon position. The record is from RNAcentral. RNAcentral also lists the same sequence under 1 other name. Lineage: Bacteria; Bacillati; Bacillota; Erysipelotrichia; Erysipelotrichales; Erysipelotrichaceae.